Panicum hallii is the source of this 1168-nucleotide long non-coding RNA. RefSeq lists it as uncharacterized. Lineage: Eukaryota; Viridiplantae; Streptophyta; Magnoliopsida; Poales; Poaceae. The record is from RefSeq and is a predicted model, not a curated record. The transcript is spliced from 2 exons.
GGUCCCGAACUUUUCAUCCAUUCCAGUUUUUAUCCCUUCACGUCCGGCCUCAUCCCCUCACUCUCUCACAGCUCACUUAUCUCACCGAAUACUCUGUUUCUCUCCCCAACCUUACCUCUUCUCUCCCUGGCACACGGUGGCUUCCUCGGCAUAGGGGCGGCGAGCUCCUCGACGCAGGGGUGCAGGGUCCGCGGGGGCCUCGCCCUGCUCCUGCUCACCACACUUGUCGUCUACCACAGGUACAUCAUAUUUGCGCUCGGUUGUGGCGGUUGUGGCGUCGCCAUGGACGCCCCCGCACGAGGCUCCCGCCGGGCCACAUGGGCUUGCCCAAUUCUGCCGGCCCGCCGACGACACAGGCACGCACAGAUCUGCAGCCACCUUCACCAGAUCUGCCCAUCUCCAAACUCUCUGUGUCAACACAGCCUCCAAGCUCGUCAUCUUGAGCGCCAAUCAAUUCCUGUGAAGAGGUGAGCAGGACCGGUGGCUUGCCCCUCCGCAGGAUCUGUAUAGGUAGUGAUUUAUUUGUGCAACUCCAUAUUUUUCCACCGUCAAGGUUCUGUCUUAGCGAUUUGGUAAUUUGCAGAUGUUUUUCCAUCCUAGAUGUUUUCCCCCAUCCUAACAGUUGCUUUCAAGCUGCAGGUAUACGAUAGAUUUCAUAAAUUGACUAGGCUGUAGUUCCUCAACAAGGCCUGAACACUUAGUGUUCAAUGUUUCUGGCUUUUCUUUCAAAUGUGGCAUGCGGCUGGCAGCGGCUGGGUAUGGCGUGUCCUCUGGGAUCGAUUACAAGGGACACGGCAAAUCCAUGGAGGCUUUGCAGUUUGGUUCAAGACAGGGAUAGGGACAAGGUGAUUUUGGUUCAGGACAAGACACAAAAGAAAGAAUUCAGUGAUGAUCUCAUAGUAAGAUGCUUCAGUUCAGUUCCAAUAUUGAAUGUAGAGAUAUUCCUUUUCUACUGUUACAAUUGGUAAUGCAAUUUGGAUAAGCAAUUUUGAGUGACCAGAUUCAGUUGUAAAUAUGCUCUAGAUUCUAAGCUGUGUUUGGGUGUAAAUAUCUGUUCUGAAACUGCAGAUUGUGCAGUGUGUUUGGUUACCAGCAAAUCUCAACAACUUACUUUUUACUACUCUACUGCAGAUUGAGUGUAAAUAUUUAUGCAAAGUUUGGACCACCA